UACGGAGGGAGCUAGCGUUGUUCGGAAUUACUGGGCGUAAAGCGCACGUAGGCGGCUUUGUAAGUUAGAGGUGAAAGCCCGGGGCUCAACCCCGGAAUAGCCUUUAAGACUGCAUCGCUUGAAUCCGGGAGAGGUGAGUGGAAUUCCGAGUGUAGAGGUGAAAUUCGUAGAUAUUCGGAAGAACACCAGUGGCGAAGGCGGCUCACUGGACCAGUACCGACGUUCAGGCACGAAAGCGUGGGGAGCAAACAGG
This 253-nucleotide ribosomal RNA is filed under the name uncultured bacterium. Its description in RNAcentral is "partial 16S ribosomal RNA". It matches the Rfam family "Bacterial small subunit ribosomal RNA", at positions 524 to 776 of the family's 1533-position model. The record is from RNAcentral.